GGGGAUGAAUUGGAUUCGACGGGGAUUUGGAAGUCGAGGUAGCGAGUAGUUGAGCCUAACAACUUUAAAAGAGGCAACAAAAAUAAAAGAUAACAAUAAUUACAAUUACGCUUUAGCGGCAUAGCUGAAGCUGCACCCUUAGCUUUCCCGCCAAGCUAUGUGAGUGUAUCAACUAAUCUGCGGGGCACUAUAUUUGGCAAAGCUUUGAGCCAAAUAUGGAAUCAAUGAAGCUUAGGCAAUUAAAAUUUUGCCGAUGAAAGCUUAAUUGCCGAAAUUAAACCAUCGGAUGCACUCGGAGAAACCUAGGUGAAAGAGUUUUCGGACGCGGGUUCAACUCCCGCCAUCUCCACCA
Molecule: transfer-messenger RNA, 352 nt
Filed under: Tissierellia bacterium
Lineage: Bacteria; Bacillati; Bacillota; Tissierellia
Rfam family: transfer-messenger RNA
About the family: Bacterial tmRNA, also known as 10Sa RNA or SsrA, is named for its dual tRNA and mRNA-like properties. Its role is to liberate the mRNA from a stalled ribosome.
Source: RNAcentral